RNAcentral lists this ribosomal RNA (992 nucleotides) under Rosellinia necatrix. Its description in RNAcentral is "partial large subunit ribosomal RNA". It matches the Rfam family "Eukaryotic large subunit ribosomal RNA", at positions 44 to 1067 of the family's 3401-position model. Lineage: Eukaryota; Fungi; Ascomycota; Sordariomycetes; Xylariales; Xylariaceae. The record is from RNAcentral.
CUUCAGGCGGAGGAGAACCAACAGGGAUUGCCUCAGUAACGGCGAGUGAAGCGGCAACAGCUCAAAUUUGAAAUCUGGCCCUCGGGUCCGAGUUGUAAUUUGUAGAGGAUGCUUUUGGCGCGGUGCCUUCCGAGUUCCCUGGAACGGGACGCCUUAGAGGGUGAGAGCCCCGUACGGUUGGACACCAAGCCUCUGUAAAGCUCCUUCGACGAGUCGAGUAGUUUGGGAAUGCUGCUCUAAAUGGGAGGUAAAUUUCUUCUAAAGCUAAAUAUUGGCCAGAGACCGAUAGCGCACAAGUAGAGUGAUCGAAAGAUGAAAAGCACUUUGAAAAGAGGGUUAAAUAGCACGUGAAAUUGUUGAAAGGGAAGCGUUUGCGACCAGACCUUUUCCUGGCGGAUCAUCCGGUGUUCUCACCGGUGCACUUCGCCAGGUCGAGGCCAGCAUCGGUUUCCGCGGGGGGAUAAAAGCUCUGGGAACGUAGCUCCUCCGGGAGUGUUAUAGCCCUCUGCACAAUACCCCCGCGGGGACCGAGGACCGCGCUCUAAGCAAGGAUGCUGGCGUAAUGGUUGUCAACGACCCGUCUUGAAACACGGACCAAGGAGUCGAACAUUUGUGCGAGUGUUUGGGUGUCAAACCCUCACGCGUAAUGAAGGUGAACGUAGGUGAGAGCCCUUACGGGUGCAUCAUCGACCGAUCCUGAUGUCUUCGGAUGGAUUUGAGUAAGAGCAUAACUGUUCGGACCCGAAAGAUGGUGAACUAUGCGUGGAUAGGGUGAAGCCAGAGGAAACUCUGGUGGAGGCUCGCAGCGGUUCUGACGUGCAAAUCGAUCGUCAAAUCUGCGCAUGGGGGCGAAAGACUUAUCGAACCAUCUAGUAGCUGGUUACCGCCGAAGUUUCCCUCAGAUAGCAGUGUUGUUCUUCAGUUUUAUGAGGUAAAGCGAAUGAUUAGGGACUCGGGGGCGCUUUUUUGCCUUCAUCCAUUCUCAAACUUUA